UACGUAGGGGGCAAGCGUUGUCCGGAAUCAUUGGGCGUAAAGCGCGCGUAGGCGGCCCGAUAAGUCCGCUGUGAAAGUCCAGGGCUCAACCCUGGAAAGCCGGUGGAUACUGUCGGGCUAGAGUCCGGAAGAGGAGAAUGGAAUUCCUGGUGUAGCGGUGAAAUGCGCAGAUAUCAGGAAGAACACCCGUGGCGAAGGCGGUUCUCUGGGACGGUACUGACGCUGAGACGCGAAAGCGUGGGGAGCGAACAGG
This 253-nucleotide ribosomal RNA is filed under the name uncultured bacterium. RNAcentral describes it as "partial 16S ribosomal RNA". It matches the Rfam family "Bacterial small subunit ribosomal RNA", at positions 524 to 776 of the family's 1533-position model. The record is from RNAcentral.